GCUUACGGCCAUACCAGCCUGGGUACGCCCGAUCUCGCCUGAUCUCGGAAGCGAAGCAGGGUCGGGCCUGUUUAGUACUUGGAUGGGAGACCGCCUUGGAAUACCAGGUGCUGUAAGGA
RNAcentral lists this ribosomal RNA (119 nucleotides) under Salmo salar (Atlantic salmon). The record is from RNAcentral. Lineage: Eukaryota; Metazoa; Chordata; Actinopteri; Salmoniformes; Salmonidae.